This 358-nucleotide ribosomal RNA is filed under the name uncultured Streptococcus sp. RNAcentral describes it as "bacterial SSU rRNA". It matches the Rfam family "Bacterial small subunit ribosomal RNA", at positions 1022 to 1382 of the family's 1533-position model. The record is from RNAcentral. Lineage: Bacteria; Bacillati; Bacillota; Bacilli; Lactobacillales; Streptococcaceae.
GGUACAUCGGUGACAGGUGGUGCAUGGUUGUCGUCAGCUCGUGUCGUGAGAUGUUGGGUUAAGUCCCGCAACGAGCGCAACCCCUAUUGUUAGUUGCCAUCAUUCAGUUGGGCACUCUAGCGAGACUGCCGGUAAUAAACCGGAGGAAGGUGGGAUGACGUCAAAUCAUCAUGCCCCUUAUGACCUGGGCUACACACGUGCUACAAUGGUUGGUACAACGAGUUGCGAGUCGGUGACGGCGAGCUAAUCUCUUAAAGCCAAUCUCAGUUCGGAUUGUAGGCUGCAACUCGCCUACAUGAAGUCGGAAUCGCUAGUAAUCGCGGAUCAGCACGCCGCAGUGAAUACGUUCCCGGGCCUU